This 1020-nucleotide ribosomal RNA is filed under the name uncultured bacterium. Its description in RNAcentral is "bacterial SSU rRNA". It matches the Rfam family "Bacterial small subunit ribosomal RNA", at positions 8 to 1063 of the family's 1533-position model. The record is from RNAcentral.
AGAGUUUGAUCAUGGCUCAGGAUGAACGCUGGCGGCGUGCCUUAGGCAUGCAAGUCGAACGCAAACUCUUCGGAGUUUGAGUGGCAGACGGGUGAGUAACGCGUAGGAAUCUACCCUUUGGUGGGGAACAACUAGUCGAAAGAUUAGUUAAUACCGCAUAACAUCGCAAGAUAAAAGAACGUAACUGUUCGCCGAUGGAGGAGCCUGCGUCCUAUCAGCUAGUUGGUGAGGUAAUGGCCCACCAAGGCUAUGACGGGUAGGGGGUGUGAGAGCAUGGCCCCCCACAAGAACACUGAGAACGGGUUCUACACCUACGGGUGGCAGCAACCGGGAAUAUUGCGCAAUGGACGAAAGUCUGACGCAGCGACGCCGCGUGUGGGAUGACGGCCUUCGGGUUGUAAACCACUGUGGAGAGGGAAGAAGUUCUGACGGUACCUCUCUAGAAAGCACCUGCUAACUACGUGCCAGAAGCCUCGGUAAUACGUAGGGUGCAAGCGUUAUCCGGAUUUACUGGGCGUACAGGGUUCGUAGGCGGUUAGGUAAGUGACGGGUCAAAGCCCCCGGCUCAACUGGGGACAGGCUCGCCAAACUGCUUAACUAGAGUAGGUUCGGGGAUGCUGGAAUUCUCGGUGGAGGAGUGAAACCCGUUGAUAUCGAGAGGAACGCCAAGGGCGAAGGCAGGCAUCUAGGACCAUACUGACGCUGAGGAACGAAAGCUAGGGUAGCGAACUGGAUUAGAGACCCAGGUAGUCCUAGCCGUAAACGAUGAACACUAGCUGGCUGGAAAUUUUUAUUUUUGGCUGGCGUAAGCUAACGCGUUAAGUGUUCCGCCUGGGAAGUACGGUCGCAAGGCUAAAACUCAAAGGAAUUGACGGGGAAACGUACAACCGGCGUUCCAUGUGGUUUAAUUCGAUACAAACCGAAGAACCUUACCUGGGUUUGACAUGCACCUGCAAGCUCCUGAAAGGGAGUCGCCUUCGAGGGUGGUGCACAGCUGCUGCAUGGUUGUCGUCAGUUCGU